GAGUUUGAUCGUAGCUCAGAUUGAACGCUGGCGGAAUGCUUUACACAUGCAAGUCGAGCGGCAGCGCGGGGCAACCUGGCGGUCGAGCGGCGAACGGGUGAGUAAUACAUCGGAACGUACCCAGUUGUGGGGGAUAGCCCGGCGAAAGCCGGAUUAAUACCGCAUACGACCUGAGGGUGAAAGCGGGGGAUCGCAAGACCUCGCGCAGUUGGAGCGGCCGAUGGCGGAUUAGCUAGUUGGUGGGGUAAAGGCCUACCAAGGCGACGAUCCGUAGCUGGUCUGAGAGGACGACCAGCCACACUGGAACUGAGACACGGUCCAGACUCCUACGGGAGGCAGCAGUGGGGAAUUUUGGACAAUGGGGGCAACCCUGAUCCAGCCAUUCCGCGUGAGUGAAG
Molecule: ribosomal RNA, 398 nt
Filed under: uncultured beta proteobacterium
Lineage: Bacteria; Pseudomonadati; Pseudomonadota; Betaproteobacteria
Description: bacterial SSU rRNA
Rfam family: Bacterial small subunit ribosomal RNA
Source: RNAcentral